AGUGAACGCUGGCGGUAGGCCUAACACAUGCAAGUCGAACGGCAGCACAGUAAGAGCUUGCUCUUACGGGUGGCGCGUGGCGGACGGGUGAGGAGUACAUCGGAAUCUACUUUUUCGUGGGGGCUAACGUAGGGAAACUUAUGCUAAUACCGCAUACGACCUACGGGUGAAAGCAGGCGUACUUCGGACCUUGCGCGGUUGAAUUAGCCGAUGUCGGAUUAGCUAGUUGGCGGGGCAAAGGCCCACCAAGGCGACGCUCCGUAGCGGGUCUGAGCGCAUGAUCAGCCACACUGGAACUGAGACACGGCCCAGACUCCUGCGGGAGGCCGCAGUGGGGAAUCUUGCGCGAUGGGGGCAAGCCGGAUCUAGCAAAACCGGGGGAAGGAUGAAGGCCUUCGGCUUGUAAAGCGCUUUUGUUGGUAAAGAAGAGCAGCUGUUUUAUCCGCGACGGUUCUGACGGUACCCAAAGAAUAAGCACCGGCUAACUUCGUG
RNAcentral lists this ribosomal RNA (492 nucleotides) under uncultured bacterium. RNAcentral describes it as "partial 16S ribosomal RNA". It matches the Rfam family "Bacterial small subunit ribosomal RNA", at positions 29 to 507 of the family's 1533-position model. The record is from RNAcentral.